Chinchilla lanigera (long-tailed chinchilla) is the source of this 2059-nucleotide long non-coding RNA. Lineage: Eukaryota; Metazoa; Chordata; Mammalia; Rodentia; Chinchillidae. The record is from Ensembl.
GACAGAGAGAACCUAGAAGCGACCUCUAGAAGGAGACUCCAGCUCCCAAAACCAGGUAACAACUCUGCAUAAGGAUCAUUGGUCAGUUUUGUCUUGUGUACACAUCUUUCCCUGCCUUACAGUUUACUUUACAACCUUAUCAUGCCUCUUGUGGGACAAAACUUUAAUUUUAUAAUCAUAGAUUAAAAGCAUAUUUUUUUGUGUCUUUUUGAGACAAGAGUUUCACUAUGUAGUUCAGGCUGGACUCAAACUCUCAGUGAUCUUCCUGCCUCAGCCUCCCGAGUGCUGGGAUUACAGGCAUGCACAAAAAAAGCAUGAUUAAAUAAAAGACAGUUAGAGGGGAGCAUACAAAGCAAGAAGGUGCUGCUCAGUGCAGUACCACAAAGUGAGUGCUGUCCAGCCCCCCAGCUUUUAACUUAGGAAAACGAUCUGGCCAUCGGUGGCUUCUGCGAUCCUCUCCACGUACGUGACAGCUGGCUGGAAGGCCAUUGUAUCUCACAGCUAUGUCGUCGCCACCUUUUUCUAAGCCUGUAUCUCUGAACACCAUCGUUCAGUUCUUCCCCCUUGGGGGCCUUUAUUUAAAUGAAAACGCACUUUCCAUGAUCUCAGUGUUUUGGUGUGUUCUUUCACUUCACUUGUUUGGAAACUGAGGAGAUGGUUCUAAAAUCUGUACGGAAAUUGAAGGGCCGAGAAAAUCUAUGACCACCUUAAAGGAAGCCAUAGCUGGAGACGCAAACCCGCUCCUUGCAUGGAUGCCCCACCGCGGGUUCAUCGGUCCGGAGGUCGCAGUCAUGUGUCAUCCAGCUGGUGCCCGCCAUGAACACAGCUCACGCUAACCAUGCACCUCCUCCUGUCCAUCCUGUGUGGAGCUCAGGCAAGCAUUUCCUUGGGGUCUCUGCCUGCCAAGGAGAUCAUAGUGAGGGGCAGUUGUCUGGCGCUCUGCGACUUCCGGCUCCUCCCCAGAGUCAAAACGACCAUGCAGGAUCAAUGUUCUGAAUCCAUGCAGGACAUCGAGGCAGCCGGGACAGUGCAACUACAGACACUCAGGAAAGAAGACUCCAGAGCAGCUGCAGAAGGUGGUCAGAACGUGGACUGCGUGAUGGAGGUGGGACAUCGGGGAAGGGAGCGGCUCCCCAAGAUCCGAAGAUGCCGGAGCGGGAGUGUGAGCAGAAGCCCACUAUUCUCCCUUAAAGAAUCAGCUGAGGUCACUUCUCCCAGAAAGUCCACCUGCACGAGCUGGGUUAGAACACCUUCCCUAUGUCACUGUGAAGGUAACACUUACAUCCACAAAUUACAUCCUUCUGCUUGCUGGUUUCUUGCUGGUUGCUGCUCUGCAUUCCAUGUUUCCCUGGCUCAUGCCUUUGUCUUCCAGGAGCUCAGCCCAAAGGUUUGGUGCCAUGGUUGGCUAUACAAGGUGCCCAGGAGAUGUUUGCUGAAGGAACAAGCAACUCUAGAAAUCUCCUAUCUGUGCUGACAGCAGAUUGAGCGAGUGGGAAAACGGAGCAGAACAAGAUCACUAAGCUAAAGAGACAAGAACAUCCAUAGGGGAGGGAUUCUGAGUCCCAAGGAAGGCAGGCCUCCCACCACACCCAAAGCAGUGUGGUGUGCCCUAGGUAUUUUUUAUUAAAUUAAGUUUCUCUUCAGAACAUUGUAGAUUCACACAUAGUUGUAAGAAACUGUGCAGAGAGAGCUGCAGGCAUGCCCUUAACUUAUUUCCCCCCGACAGUAACGUCUUGCAACACUAUAGUAUGAUAUCACCAUCGGUAGGGCAUUAAUAUAAAGUAUAAUAAAAAUAUGGUGAAUACUUUGAAAAAGUAUUACAGUAAAAGGCACACUGCCAUUAAUCAACCUCAAAAUACUCCUCCUCAAUUCAAAAACAUUUAUCCCAUUGUUCUUGCCACCUUCUGAAGCAGCUCUGAAAGUCUUCUUCUCUGAGUGUCCUUAGUUUAGCUGUCGUGGCUGCCUCCAAGUCCUGCAUGGAUUCAGAACGCUUCCCUUUCAGUUUCUUUCCAAGCCACACGCAGCUGUGGCCAUGACAAGGGCGUGGCAGAGUGGGCAG